AUUGAACGCUGGCGGAAUGCUUUACACAUGCAAGUCGAACGGUAGAGGGGGCAACCCCUCGAGAGUGGCGAACGGGUGAGUAAUAUAUCGGAACGUGCCCAGUCGUGGGGGAUAACGUAGCGAAAGUUACGCUAAUACCGCAUACGAUCUACGGAUGAAAGCGGGGGAUCGCAAGACCUCGCGCGAUUGGAGCGGCCGAUAUCAGAUUAGGUAGUUGGUGGGGUGAAGGCUCACCAAGCCAACGAUCUGUAGCUGGUCUGAGAGGACGACCAGCCUCACUGGAACUGAGACACGGUCCAGACUCCUACGGGAGGCAGCAGUGGGGAAUUUUGGACAAUGGACGCAAGUCUGAUCCAGCCAUUCCGCGUGCAGGAUGAAGGCCCUCGGGUUGUAAACUGCUUUUGUACGGAACGAAAAGGUUUCCAUUAAUACUGGGAGCUCAUGACGGUACCGUAAGAAUAAGCACCGGCUAACUACGUGCCAGCCGCCGCGGUAA
RNAcentral lists this ribosomal RNA (496 nucleotides) under uncultured bacterium. Its description in RNAcentral is "partial 16S ribosomal RNA". It matches the Rfam family "Bacterial small subunit ribosomal RNA", at positions 30 to 523 of the family's 1533-position model. The record is from RNAcentral.